UCAUCCACCUUGAUGAUAUUUUUCUCUACUAGAAGAGCAAUCACCAAGGACUCAUACGAAGGAGGAAGCGAUGUUAGCAAGAGCAACACUUUGAUCUUCUUCUUAACUUUCUCGUCAAUGCUGAGAAAAUCAGUGAGGAUAUUCUGAAAGUGGCUGACGUACUCCUGCACACUUUGUCUUUUGUCCAUCCGUAAUUGAUAGAACUACCUCCAG
This 213-nucleotide long non-coding RNA is filed under the name Elaeis guineensis (African oil palm). RNAcentral describes it as "long non-coding RNA (EGUI_LNC017473)". Lineage: Eukaryota; Viridiplantae; Streptophyta; Magnoliopsida; Arecales; Arecaceae. The record is from RNAcentral.